Molecule: ribosomal RNA, 1527 nt
Filed under: Pseudomonas paralactis
Lineage: Bacteria; Pseudomonadati; Pseudomonadota; Gammaproteobacteria; Pseudomonadales; Pseudomonadaceae
Description: partial 23S ribosomal RNA
Rfam family: Bacterial large subunit ribosomal RNA
Source: RNAcentral
GUUAUAUGGUCAAGUGAAGAAGCGCAUACGGUGGAUGCCUUGGCAGUCAGAGGCGAUGAAAGACGUGGUAGCCUGCGAAAAGCUUCGGGGAGUCGGCAAACAGACUUUGAUCCGGAGAUGUCUGAAUGGGGGAACCCAGCCAUCAUAAGAUGGUUAUCUUGUACUGAAUACAUAGGUGCAAGAAGCGAACCAGGGGAACUGAAACAUCUAAGUACCCUGAGGAAAAGAAAUCAACCGAGAUUCCCUUAGUAGUGGCGAGCGAACGGGGACUAGCCCUUAAGUGGCUUUGAGAUUAGCGGAACGCUCUGGAAAGUGCGGCCAUAGUGGGUGAUAGCCCUGUACGCGAAAAUCUCUUAGUCAUGAAAUCGAGUAGGACGGAGCACGAGAAACUUUGUCUGAAUAUGGGGGGACCAUCCUCCAAGGCUAAAUACUACUGACUGACCGAUAGUGAACUAGUACCGUGAGGGAAAGGCGAAAAGAACCCCGGAGAGGGGAGUGAAAUAGAUCCUGAAACCGUAUGCGUACAAGCAGUGGGAGCCCACUUUGUUGGGUGACUGCGUACCUUUUGUAUAAUGGGUCAGCGACUUAUUUUCAGUGGCGAGCUUAACCGAAUAGGGGAGGCGUAGCGAAAGCGAGUCUUAAUAGGGCGUCUAGUCGCUGGGAAUAGACCCGAAACCGGGCGAUCUAUCCAUGGGCAGGUUGAAGGUUGGGUAACACUAACUGGAGGACCGAACCGACUACCGUUGAAAAGUUAGCGGAUGACCUGUGGAUCGGAGUGAAAGGCUAAUCAAGCUCGGAGAUAGCUGGUUCUCCUCGAAAGCUAUUUAGGUAGCGCCUCAUGUAUCACUGUAGGGGGUAGAGCACUGUUUCGGCUAGGGGGUCAUCCCGACUUACCAAACCGAUGCAAACUCCGAAUACCUACAAGUGCCGAGCAUGGGAGACACACGGCGGGUGCUAACGUCCGUCGUGAAAAGGGAAACAACCCAGACCGUCAGCUAAGGUCCCAAAGUUAUGGUUAAGUGGGAAACGAUGUGGGAAGGCUUAGACAGCUAGGAGGUUGGCUUAGAAGCAGCCACCCUUUAAAGAAAGCGUAAUAGCUCACUAGUCGAGUCGGCCUGCGCGGAAGAUGUAACGGGGCUCAAACCAUACACCGAAGCUACGGGUAUCACGUAAGUGAUGCGGUAGAGGAGCGUUCUGUAAGCCUGUGAAGGUGAGUUGAGAAGCUUGCUGGAGGUAUCAGAAGUGCGAAUGCUGACAUGAGUAACGACAAUGGGUGUGAAAAACACCCACGCCGAAAGACCAAGGUUUCCUGCGCAACGUUAAUCGACGCAGGGUUAGUCGGUCCCUAAGGCGAGGCUGAAAAGCGUAGUCGAUGGAAAACAGGUUAAUAUUCCUGUACUUCUGGUUAUUGCGAUGGAGGGACGGAGAAGGCUAGGCCAGCUUGGCGUUGGUUGUCCAAGUUUAAGGUGGUAGGCUGGAAUCUUAGGUAAAUCCGGGAUUCUAAGGCCGAGAGCUGAUGACGAGUUA